This 224-nucleotide long non-coding RNA is filed under the name Musa acuminata (dwarf banana). RNAcentral's name for it is "long non-coding RNA (MACU_LNC007290)". Lineage: Eukaryota; Viridiplantae; Streptophyta; Magnoliopsida; Zingiberales; Musaceae. The record is from RNAcentral.
CACGAGAGAACACAUAAAGGAUCUCGAUUCAUAUAUAAUAUCUCUCAAUUCAUUAUGAAUCACAAUAUUAUAAUUCCAAAAAAUCAUUAUUCAUUUGGAUAGUAGAUAGCAAAAAGAAACAUUGAGGAUAAAAGAUCUCGAUUCAUAUAGGGUAAAUCUCAAGUUAUAAAUAUCGAAAAAUUAAGACAAAAAUCAUGGUUAGAUGAAACUCAUCCAAAUUUAAA